GGAGGGAGCAAGCGUUACUCGGAAUUAUUGGGCGUAAAGGGCGCGUAGGCGAUCUGGCGUGUCCUGUGUGAAAUCCCAGAGCUUAACUCUGGAAGUGCACAGGAAACUGUUUGGAUUAGAGUUCAGGAGAGGAAAGCAGAAUUCCCGGUGUAGCGGUGAAAUGCGUAGAGAUCGGGAGGAAUACCAGUGGCGAAGGCGGCUUUCUGGACUGACACUGACGCUGAGGCGCGAAAGCCAGGGGAGCAAACGGGAUUAGAUACCCCGGUAGUCCUGGCUGUAAACGAUGUGCACUUGGUGUGAGCCGGUUUUCGGUUCGUGCCGAAGUUAACGCAAUAAGUGCACCGCCUGGGGAGUACGGUCGCAAGGCUGAA
RNAcentral lists this ribosomal RNA (371 nucleotides) under uncultured bacterium. RNAcentral describes it as "bacterial SSU rRNA". It matches the Rfam family "Bacterial small subunit ribosomal RNA", at positions 527 to 898 of the family's 1533-position model. The record is from RNAcentral.